GGCGAACGGGUGAGUAACACGUGAGCAACCUGCCCUAGGCUUUGGGAUAACCCCGGGAAACCGGGGCUAAUACCGAAUAGGACCUGGCCUUGCAUGAGGCUGGGUGGAAAGUUUUUCGGCCUGGGAUGGGCUCGCGGCCUAUCAGCUUGUUGGUGGGGUGAUGGCCUACCAAGGCGACGACGGGUAGCCGGCCUGAGAGGGCGACCGGCCACACUGGGACUGAGACACGGCCCAGACUCCUACGGGAGGCAGCAGUGGGGAAUAUUGCACAAUGGGCGGAAGCCUGAUGCAGCGACGCCGCGUGAGGGAUGACGGCCUUCGGGUUGUAAACCUCUUUCAGCAGGGACGAAGCGUAAGUGACGGUACCUGCAGAAGAAGCACCGGCCAACUACGUGCCAGCAGCCGCGGUAAGACGUAGGGUGCGAGCGUUGUCCGGAUUUAUUGGGCGUAAAGAGCUCGUAGGCGGCUUGUCGCGUCGACUGUGAAAACCCGCAGCUCAACUGCGGGCCUGCAGUCGAUACGGGCAGGCUAGAGUUCGGUAGGGGAGACUGGAAUUCCUGGUGUAGCGGUGAAAUGCGCAGAUAUCAGGAGGAACACCGGUGGCGAAGGCGGGUCUCUGGGCCGAUACUGACGCUGAGGA
RNAcentral lists this ribosomal RNA (640 nucleotides) under Micromonospora chersina. Its description in RNAcentral is "bacterial SSU rRNA". It matches the Rfam family "Bacterial small subunit ribosomal RNA", at positions 97 to 752 of the family's 1533-position model. Lineage: Bacteria; Bacillati; Actinomycetota; Actinomycetes; Micromonosporales; Micromonosporaceae. The record is from RNAcentral.